UUUUGGCUACAUCAGAAAUUCAUUUCAAACUAGCAUGAUCACCACCGCGUUUGACACGUGCCCUAUCUCCGGAAAGAUAGAAUAAGAAUUUGUAUUGUAUGUUUACAUAUCACACCUCCCAUCACAGCGCAAUCCCAAAAUUAGCGUCUCUGCUAUGACUAGGUGCGAGUCUCACGAACCAACCACUCGACACUCGCACGUGAACCCAGACUACGGCCAUAGGGUAUGCCCUCUCUACAACUAUACAUACAUUAUUAUUUUUCACUACGGGCACAUCCAAUGCAAGGACUCUUACCUGACGACGGUAUUAAAAGAUGAUGGGUUUUAUAUCCUGUGCUAGCAUACGCAAACGCAAACAACAGAUCUCAGACGCUUGACAACAAAACCCACGGGCGAAUUGCUCCGAGCAUCAUCCUCCAACUCAAGCAACAAUGCCGAAACUGAGACUGGGAGCGAAGCCUGCACGGGCCAAACAGCUCCUGGCGCCUGUACUUGCCACAAAAUUGGACAUGGCCCGAGACGUCUUCAUAAACUGUGUAACCUGUACGAUUUGCAUAUAGGAGGUGUUUGUUUCGUCAAAUUCUGCCCGUCACCUGUUUACAGUGUAAACCGAUACCGUUACGUGUGUUUGGUGAGACAACUCUGUAAUCACGUUCCUCUGUAAUCAGUUCCAGGCCAUCUAUCGAACGAUACCCUCACCCCCCAGCGGUAAAGGCUUCCUUACCGCUCGACUCUGCCCCUCACCCGCGACUCGCUCCUCCCCUCGAUCCGUCCCGCGCCGCCGCCUCCCUUCCAGUACAGCGACGCCGCGCCGCCGCCUCCCUUCCAGGCCAGCAAUGCCGCGCCGCCGCCUCCCCUCGACCCCCUUCGGUCCUCUCCUCCUCGUCCAGCCGCCGGGUUGACCUCGCCGCAUUAGUCGCCGGGAACGACCACGCCAGCCGCCUCCGACGCCGAUGAGGGUGGACCAUUGAAGCCGCGUACGAGGAGCACAAAGGCCCAUCUGCCCAUCUCCGGAUCGAUCUCUUCCUCCAUCAGUCUCCUACUACAGAUCUGAAGGUUAGGGUUACUAGUCCAUCUGUUCGCGAUCUUGAAGUAAAAAAAUAUGUGUGCUUGAUCUGUUCUUGAUCUACUAAUGAUCUGUUAUAGGUUGAUGUCUAGCAUAUAUUUCCAUUUGUUCUUGAUCUUGAAGUAAAAAAAUGUGUGACUUGAUCAGUUCUUGAUCUACUAAUGAUCUGUUAUAGGUUGAUGUCUAGCAUAUAUUUCCAUCUGUUCUUGAUCUUGAAGUAAAAAAAAUAUGUGUUCUUGAUAUAUUAAUGAUCUGUUAUAGGUUGAUGUCUAUUAAUGAUCUAUUCUUGAUCUUGAAGUAGAAAGAUAUGUGUUCUUGAUCUGUUCUUUUAUUAGUGAUGACUAGUGGAGUAUAAUUGGUGGUCUGUCCUUUGUAUUUUUCUGAUGUGUUCAUCAUCUGCCUAGUUAGGUAACUAGGCAAAUAGAUGAAUUAGGUUGGCUGGUCACAAAAAGGAAGGAAGGUGUCUUGUUCGAUGCAUGUUCCUGUUGACAAUUGGACCAUCUUCUUUAGCUUUCUGAUGUGAAAUCAUAUCCAGAUACUUGGAACUUUGCAUGACCAGUAGAUCGACGGUGAUAUCCACAUAUCAACUAGAUAUUUGUUGACUGUUCCUCUAGUUUUUUGAUAUGCAAUUUUCCUAUCCAUAUGCAGCAGUUGUAUUUGUAUAUGACUUAAUUAGGCUUCUGAUGUGCAAGUUUUUUUGAAUCCAUUGUACCUUUGCAUGACAAAUGCAUGUGCAAGUUUUUUCAUCAUCCUAAAAUCUAUCCAGUUUCUUGUUUUGUACUACCACCAAUUUUUAGGAAAGAAAGUCAUACCAACCUUAAAUAGGUAUAUUUUCCUUAUGCAGUUAUGGCUCGUCUUCCUUUAAGUGCGAGGCGUGGAAGGAGAAAUGCAAUAUUUUUUAAUCUGACCACUUCCAUUAUGCUUGUAUACUAUUAUGUGUGGUUCAUGUUUGCAUUAGCUUAUAGGAGAAAAUGUUGGCAAAUAGAAAGGAGAAUUAAAAUUAGAGAGUUAAGGGGAGAGAACUUGUAUCGACUAAUUGGUGAGAGCGACGCUAUGUGUAUAAGUCAACUUCGUAUGGAUAGGAGAACAUUUCAUAUAUUAUGUGAGAUGGUGAGAGAUGUUGGUGGUCUAAAGGGUACAAGGAACACAUCAUUAGAGGAGAUAGUGGCAUCAUUCUUGUAUGUUUUAUCACACCAUCUCAAAAAUAGGACAGUAGGAAAAUUCUUCUAUCGAAGCCCUGAGCCAAUUAGUAGAAACUUCAACGCUUGUCUUCUAGCUGUCUUGAAGCUGCACCAUGUGCUACUUAAGAAGCCUGAACCUAUACCCGAGGAUUGCACCGAUGAUAAGUGGAAGUAUUUCAAGGUAAAUAGCUACUAAUAAAAAAUAUUAUUCACUAGAUGAUCUCAAUAGUGGUAAAAGAUGCUAAUAUUUGCACAUUGCUCUUUAUGUUGUAGAAUUGCCUUGGAGCAUUAGAUGGCACACACAUAGUCGUAACGGUCCCAGCUAAUUUGAAAGGAAGGUAUCGAUCAAGGUUGGGUGAUAUAGAUACAAAUGUGUUAGGUGUAUGUGCACCUGACAUGCAAUUCAUCUACAUAUUACCCGGUUGGGAAGAUUCUGCACAUGAUGGUCGGGUUCUUAGGGAUGCCAUCUCACGGCCAAAUGGGUUGCGUGUCCCCGAAGGCCAAUAUUAUCUUGUCGAUGCUGGCUACACAAACGCAAAAGGAUUUUUAGCUCCAUAUCGAGGUCAAAGGUAUCACUUGGGUGGUUGGACACCACAAAAUCCACCUCGUAGCGCAGAAGAAUAUCUCAACAUGCGCCACGCUAGAGCCCGAAAUAUAGUAGAAAGGUGCUUUGGAAGGCUGAAGGGUCGGUGGGGGAUUUUGAGGUCUCCUUCCUUUUUUCCCAUGAAGACUCAAUGUCGAAUCAUCAUGGCAUGCGCACUCUUGCAUAAUCUUAUAUUGCAAAAGAUGUCUGUCGACCCACUUGAUAUCAACGAGCCAAUAAUACAAGAUACAUUAGAAGACAUGGAGGAAGAAUUGGAACAACCAGAAUUCAUCACUUCUAUCUCAACUUUGAAUGAGUGGACAAUUUUUCGGAAUGAACUUGCUCAGGGCAUGUAUAAUAGACAUAGGGCUGCUAGGGCGCAUUGAGGUAUAAGUUAUUUCUAUUUGUUCCCUUCUAUAUAUAUUUCCAUCUCAUUUACAUUUGUUUCCUUUCAAUUAUAUUUGCAAGCUACAAUUGCAUCUCGUUUGCAUUUGUUCUCUUUCAUGUAUAUUUGCCAUCUCAUUUGUACCCAUUCUUGCUUGUGCAGAUAUGGACCGUGUGGAUAGCUCGAGCACGUCUCGUGGAAGAGGCAAGAAUAAAAGGAAUUGGUCUUCCGAUGAGGACGAUGAGCUUAUUAAAGCUUUGUAUGAGUUAUCUUUGGACCCGAGGUGGAAAGCUGAUGGUGCCUUCAAGGGUGGAUACCUGGGGAUAUUGGAAAAGCAUCUUGCUGAAAAGUGUCCAGGCCGUGGUAUCACUGCAUCUCCGCACAUUGAAUCAAGAGUGAGGCACUUCAGGAAGAAAUUUGGUGCCGUUGAAGUAAUGCUAUCCAAAAGUGGUUUCACAUGGGAUGGAAGUCGAAAGAUGAUUCAGUGCGAGAAGGCACAAUAUGAAGCUCAUUGUCAGGUAGAUCACUUGAACCACUAAAACUGAAUACCUUAGUAAUGCUUUGUGCUGAAUUUCCUUGCUAUCGAAAGUAGUACCGUUUCUAUCCCUUGUUACUAUCCUUGCUAUCGAAAACCAACAUUCUUCUUUUGUAAAAAAACAUGUAGAUUCACAAGGAGGCUAAGGGAUUGUAUGGUGUAUCAUUUCCAUACUUUGAACAAUUGGCUGCUAUCUAUGGCAAAGACAUUGCAACAGGAGAAAGUGCGGAAGGCUUUGGAGAGGCAGUGGGAAACUUGGAGAAGGAAAUUGCUAUGGAGGAAGAAGAAAAUGAGGAAGAGGACAUGAUCUCAACAGGAACAGCUCGACGGUCCAUUGACACUUGCUCUAUUGAUACAACUAGUUCGAAGAGGCAGAAAAAGGAGCCAAGGCCAAAGAGGGCGACGGGACCAAGCGAUCCAUUUGCAGCCAUGCUUCAAGAUGUUAAUAGCCAGCUGAACAGCGUGACACAACAUGUGGGUGCAAUGACAACAUCAUUUACAGCAGCAAUGGCGCGAGAAGCAGCACAAGAAGACCCUCAACAGAAAUCAAGAGAAAAUGCAAUUAGUGAAUUGUCUAGGCUUGCAUUUACUGGGAGCGAGAUCGUUGAAGCUGCAACUAUAUUCGCUAAAGCUCCAGAGCACAUGAACAUGAUGCUUGUGCUUCCAGGCAUUCUGAGGAGGGACUUCGUCCUGAAAAUGCUGUCCGGUAUCCCUUUUUCUAAACUCUCUUUAAUAAUAUGCACUAUCUUGUGAUGCAGUUUUUGUUUUAGCGAAAAUGUUCAGCAACUCAUGUGUGACCACAUUUUUCUAAUAAGUGAUAUCUAGACUGCCAUAUAAAUCUGUUUCCACGGCGUUCGCUUUCACUAACACUGUCCUCCAAACUUUGGUCAAUUGGUCCUCUCCCAAACUUGUUUGCCGCUGUUAUAAACCUUAACUAGUCUUGAUUACUACCAGCGACCCGCAAGCUAGAUCUUGAUUAAUACUACUACCCACAGAAUAUUACUACUGCUACCAUAGCUAGCUCCUGGUACAUGUGCAACUGCAACAGGCUAAUUAACAUUUCUCCACCGUCAACUUUGCACGGUUUGCAGUAACACAACAUGUAUUACUGUAGUUAACUCUUUGCAAAAACAAAGAGCUCUUGAUAUGUGUUUUUGGCUGGUCAUAUAUAAGCCAAACUUGUGCUGAAGUUUUUUUCCUUGUAUCUAACUCCUGCUUAUUGGCUCCUCAUUGGCAGAUGAAAGAAAGAAGCAAGGUUGAUGGGAAAGAAGGUCCUUCUCUAGUAAUGGUGUGACAUAACUGGUGUGUACAAAACCCACCUCAUUUUACUAUUGUUAUAUAUUUGUCAAAAGUGUUGAAAAGCAUGGAGUAGACCUCAUCCUUUCCACCAUAUUUUAGUAUAUGUUCUUGUACUAUACAUCAUUGUAGUCUGUGUUAGCUAAGAGAGUGCUUUUCAUUUCAUUGGUCUUGCAGUAUACAUCAUUUUCCUAUUGUUAUCUUUGUCAAAGUGUUGAAAUGCAUGGAGCAGAUUCCCACCUUUUCCUUCGUCAAAGUGUUGAUGAGAAAGAACAAUCAUGUUAUAGUUGCUAUUAUUAUUUUUAUUAUUGGUUGUUGCUUGUGUGUUUCUUUAUCCUCAUUUUAACUCGUGCUUAUUGGCAGAUGAGAAAAUAAGCAAGGUUCAUUAGAAAAUGGGAUCAGUGGUGUGGCGUGGAAGAUGAAGAUGAAUGGAAAAGCUUCUUUGCAAGAUUGUGAACUUGGCCUUUCUAUUUAUCCUAUAAUAUAAAAACAAUUUUAGGGACUAAUUAUGUAGUUUAUUUCGAAGUGUCGUUGAAUUCCGAGUUCGUAUCAUUUUCAUUUUAAAAAUGUGUAAUGUCGUUAAAGUGGAGCCAAAUUCUGGUUAAAAGAUGUCUUUGCAUUGGAUGAAUGCAAAAAUAUUUCUAAAUUGUGUGCUUGUUUGAUGCAUGUGAAUGCCCAUGUUGUGUUCUGUACUGUGAAAGGAGCCUGUUACUGUGUCAAACCAAACACUGUUUAGGUACCUGUUUCCUUUACACUGUAGAACCAAACAAAAUGGGGUUUGUCCAGUCCGGUGCUGUUACAGUCUGUAAACAGUUCCCAUUUACGUUUACGUUACCACUGGACGAAACAAACACCUCCAUAGUGUACAGCAGUGAUAUUACACACAGAGAACGUACGAAGAUAACAGUUUCACAGCAAAUUCAGAAGCAGGUCAUAAAACCCCGGUACGUAACCCUAACGUUGCUGCUUCUUCCUAUGGUCCUGAAAUCUCUAGUGUACACCAACACCACAAAAAAUCACGGCUUUUUACUGUCCGGAGGAGGAACCUUAACGCCCAUAAGUCCAAGCAGGUUCGAGGCCGGGCCAGGAAGGCCCUGCUGAGAUGAGUACGAGUUAAGGAAGCUCUCCACAAGGUUCAAGUUCACAUCAACUGGGGCCAUCUCCCCAUCAUCACUAUCGGCAGCAUUCGAGGGACC
This 6242-nucleotide long non-coding RNA is filed under the name Triticum aestivum (bread wheat). Its description in RNAcentral is "long non-coding RNA (TAES_LNC017558)". Lineage: Eukaryota; Viridiplantae; Streptophyta; Magnoliopsida; Poales; Poaceae. The record is from RNAcentral.